This 1351-nucleotide ribosomal RNA is filed under the name metagenome. RNAcentral describes it as "bacterial LSU rRNA". It matches the Rfam family "Bacterial large subunit ribosomal RNA", at positions 1564 to 2925 of the family's 2925-position model. The record is from RNAcentral.
UGAGUACGAGCUGCUACGGCAGCGAAGUGGGUGAUGUCAAGCUUCCAAGAAAAGCCCUAUACCCGUUAAGGCAUGACGGCCUGUACCCGAAACCGACACAGGUGGGGUGGUAGAGAAUACCGAGGGGCGCGAGAUAACUCUCUCUAAGGAACUCGGCAAAAUGGCCCCGUAACUUCGGGAGAAGGGGUGCCACCGCAAGGUGGUCGCAGUGAAGAGGCCCAGGCGACUGUUUACCAAAAACACAGGUCUCCGCUAAGUCGCAAGACGAUGUAUGGGGGCUGACGCCUGCCCAGUGCCGGAAGGUUAAGGAAGCUGGUCAGCGCAAGCGAAGCUAGCGACUGAAGCCCCGGUGAACGGCGGCCGUAACUAUAACGGUCCUAAGGUAGCGAAAUUCCUUGUCGGGUAAGUUCCGACCCGCACGUAAGGCGUAACGAUCUGGGCGCUGUCUCGGAGAGAGGCUCGGCGAAAUAGUAUUGUCUGUGAAGAUGCGGACUACGUGCACCCGGACAGAAAGACCCUAUGAAGCUUUACUGUAGCUUGGUAUUGUGCCCGGGCUCUGAGUGCGCAGGAUAGGUGGGAGGCUUUGAUCCAUUGCUUGUGGGUAAUGGUGAGCCACUGGUGAGAUACCACUCUUUCAGAGCUAGGGUUCUAACGGUCACCCGUUAUCCGGGGACCGGACAGUAUCAGGUGGGCAGUUUGACUGGGGUGGUCGCCUCCUAAAAGGUAACGGAGGCGCGCAAAGGUUCCCUCAGGCUGGUUGGAAAUCAGCCGACGAGUGUAAAGGCAGAAGGGAGCUUGACUGUGAGACCUACAAGUCGAACAGGGACGAAAGUCGGCCUUAGUGAUCCGACGGUUCUGAGUGGAAGGGCCGUCGCUCAACGGAUAAAAGUUACUCUAGGAUAACAGGCUGAUCUCCCCCAAGAGUUCACAUCGACGGGGAGGUUUGGCACCUCGAUGUCGGCUCAUCGCAACCUGGGGCUGAAGUCGGUCCCAAGGGUUGGGCUGUUCGCCCAUUAAAGCGGUACGCGAGCUGGGUUCAGAACGUCGUGAGACAGUUCGGUCCAUAUCCGGUGCACGCGCAGGAACAUUGAGAGGAUUUCUCCCUAGUACGAGAGGACCGGGAGGAACGCACCUCUGGUGUACCAGUUAUCGUGCCAACGGUAAACGCUGGGUAGCCAUGUGCGGAGUGGAUAACCGCUGAAAGCAUCUAAGUGGGAAGCCCACCUCAAGAUGAGUGUUCCCAUGGCAUAAGCCAGUAAGGUCACGGGAAGAACACCCGUUGAUAGGCUCUACGUGGAAGCGUGGCAACACGUGAAGCGGAGGAGUACUAAUAGACCGAGGGCUUGACCAA